CACGUAGGGUGCAAGCGUUGUCCGGAAUUAUUGGGCGUAAAGAGCUCGUAGGCGGCCUGUCACGUCGACUGUGAAAACCUAGGGCUCAACCCUGGGCCUGCGGUCGAUACGGGCAGGCUAGAGUUCGGUAGGGGAGACUGGAAUUCCUGGUGUAGCGGUGAAAUGCGCAGAUAUCAGGAGGAACACCGGUGGCGAGGGCGGGUCUCUGGGGCCGAUACUGACGCUGAGGAGCGAAAGCGUGGGGAGCGAACAGG
RNAcentral lists this ribosomal RNA (254 nucleotides) under uncultured bacterium. RNAcentral describes it as "partial 16S ribosomal RNA". It matches the Rfam family "Bacterial small subunit ribosomal RNA", at positions 524 to 776 of the family's 1533-position model. The record is from RNAcentral.